UUCGACGCUUACGUCCUCUCCGAGUCGAGCCUCUUCGUCUACCCAACCAAAAUCAUCAUCAAAACAUGCGGCACGACACAACUCCUCAAAUCAAUCCGACCGUUGAUCCACCUCGCGCGUAACGUCAACCUCACGCUACGCGCGUGCCGCUACUCGCGCGGGAGCUUCAUAUUCCCCAACUCGCAGCCUUUCCCUUACACGAGCUUCGAAGACGAAGUCGUCAUCGUCGAAGAAAGCCUCCCGAAGUCUCUCCGUUACCGCAAAGCCUCCGUCAUGACGCCCUCUAAUAGUAACCCUUCGCGUGCGUGGCACGUGUUCACCGCGAGCGCUGACGUGGAGCCUGACGAGUCUCUCGUUGUUGUCGAGGUCUGCAUGACGGAGCUUGACCGAGUCAACGCUCGUAGCUUCUUCAGACGGAAAGGCGACGAGGGAAAUAGUGACUCCGCCGGGAAAGAGAUGACGCGGCUGAGCGGUAUCGAUAUGAUAAACGCAAACGCGUUUAUAUGCGACUUCGCGUUUGAUCCUUGCGGUUACUCGAUGAACGGGGUCGACGGAGACCGUUACUCGACCAUCCACGUCACGCCUGAAGACGGUUUUAGCUACGCUAGCUUCGAGUGCGGGUUGUCUCUUUACGACGGAGGUCAAGGAGACAUCGCCGAGGUGUUGGCCCGCGCGAUUGAUGUUUUCCGGCCAGGUUGCGUCUCCAUCGCCACUACUUACAACGGUGAGGAUUAUGACCACGAGGUGACGAAGCGUGUGGAGCGGGUGUUGGCGAAGAAGCUCGGUUUGAAGUGUCGGAGCAGGCUUAUGGAUGAGUUCCCGGGCUCCGGGACAGUCGUGUAUCAGUCAUUCACGCCUCGUCGGAAAUAGAUUUCACCGGAGGAGGAGAAACAAACAAAAAAGGGUUUUAGGUUUUAAAUAGUUGAUGACGUGGAGGGAGAUGAUUGGUUGGAUUGGGUAAGGAAAGAUAUAAGUGGGAACAUAUGAUCAUCAUGCGCCCCACUUUGCACUUGUGGCACUGUCACGCCUAAGCAUUUUUGAGGCACUGUGUUGUAGAAUUUUAGUGGGGGAUGGUAAAAAAUGUUUGCUCUUGUCUUCUUCUUUUGUGUUUUUAUGUUUGUUUUUUAAAAUGAUCUUAUAUCUUUACAUGAGACUCUUGAUAUACAUCUUCAUUGUUAUCUAUGGCUGCAAAUUAAUUUAUCAUCACCUAUGUGAGAAGUAUAUUGUGGUUUAACCUAAAUAGAAAAGGAGAAAACACCCAAAAAAAAAGAGAUUAAAAAAUAUGCAAAUAUGUUACUAACCAAGGUAGACCAUCCUCCAAUACACGAAACAUAUGGUAAAAACAUUUCAAAAGUUAUGUUCAACCAGCUUCCGCUAUGUUUUGUCAGUUACAUUCGGCGUUAGCAGAACAUAUGCAUCAAGUCGGAAUUAGUAUCACCAGAUAUACCUUUUACACCGGCUUCUGGUGAACAUUGGUCAAAUUAGCAUGGGCGUCAAUCGUCAUCAUCGUCAUGUCUUCCAAAAUUCAAAUCCAGUAAAAACUAAACUCAAGGCUAUCCAACACAACCCAGUUAAAACUAAAACUCAUGGCUAACACAACACAAUCCGAUCAUAACAUUAAAUUCUGGCAAUGUGCAUGUCUACGUGCUUUAGACGACAAAAAUACAAAAAAAAAUUACUCUCAAAUUUCACUUUUUGGCUUUUGCCUAUUGACCUUUUGAAAAGAAAAUUAAUAUUUAGUUAAUGACUUAAUGUCAAUAAUCGCGCAUGUAAACUCUAUCCACUCCCAACAUACUAAAAAACAAUAUGCACGUGACAAUCAUUGGUUAAAAGUAAAAAACCAAUUUUGUUAUGUCCAGUAGCAAAAUCACUUUGAACUGCACUAAGAUAUCACUUUGAACUGCACUAAGAUAUUCUCUGAGCAGUGGAAUCCACUCCACUCUGAAACUUUACUUUUAUAAAGAUUGAUAGCUAAUUCAUUAUUUUCCUUAAAAACCAUCACUUAAUCAAUUAAAAACAAUCAACAAUUCACAAAGAUAUAUAGUGAAGGCAGAAGAAAAAGUUUGAAAAAAUUGAGUUUUAAGAAGCUUCACUGCUCUUAUUUAAUGUCCAUUCACCGGUUACCUUUACGAUCACAUGAUUCUUUCUCUCCAAUAAGAUACAAAAUAAGUAGCAAACAAUUAAAAAAGAUGUGUAGCUUUGGGAAAAAGGAUGCACGAGGUUCUUCGUCAUAAGAAGUAUUAGCAUUCUAUUAAAAAGGAUUCAAAUGAGUGAAAUCUUCUGAAUGAACCAAAUUCAACUAGGAAGACAACAAGCUUUAUGAAGUGCAAAUACAAUUUCUGUUUUUUAUUUGUGAACCAUUGUUCACAUCUCAGAAGAAAAAAAACUCAACUAAUUAGGAGCCAUCAAAAGAAAAAAAUUCUCUGCAAAUGAACCGAAUCCUACCAGCAAGAACACACAAAAAAAAAAACAAGAUUCAAAUUGCUUGGAGUGAAAUUUGCUUUUAUUGAAUUACAUUGUAGGAAGAAAAUUUGUGCAUUUUGCAACCCGCAAAACAAGAAGAAUCAUAAGAAACCGUUUCACAAAGCUGUAAGGUUUUCGUAUAAGAAGUAACCAAUCACUACUUCGUAAUCAAGGAGUGGCUUUUCAUCAUCUCUAUCAUUUCUUCGUUCUCCUUUCACGGCAUGCCUUCAAAGCUUGAACGUCUUUGGAACAACAAAUCACAAACAACAAAAGCUUAUCAACACUACGUCCGAUUGUCUUUACCAACUGUAUCAUCUCUUUCACGUAAGAGAAUUCAAUUAAUCCAUCACUUCUAAAUCAGUUCCUCACACAACAAUAAUAAACGCAGUGUCAUUCUCUUAGGUUAAAAACCCUAAACCCAGUUCUAAAAUCUGCUAGUAAAUUUGAGAAUAGAGAGAGCUACGUACGUUUCUGACAAGGUUUCUAGUCCCUAUUGCUAUCAACAAGACAAUCCUGCCAAAACAAAAAUCAAAUAAAAUAAAGCGAAUAUAAAAGAUGGAAGAAAAAAAAAAAUAAAAAAAAAAUGGAUGGCAUUUUCGUAAAUUAUAUGAACUUGUGGGGUGAAUAGGGCAAAACCAAUUUUAAAAAAAAAAGAGGUUAGUUUUGUGUUUGACUUUAAGUUAUAGGUCAAUUUUGCAAAAAUCCCUAUAGACUAUUCGGAACCAACCAAGAACCUGACCAAUCUCAGGCUGUUAUCCGGUGUAACCAAAAAAAAUUUCCUAGUAUACAAACUAAAAUAUUACGAGAUACAAGGUAGGCCUGGGCUUAUGUCAUCGUCUUUUGAAUAACAUGAUUGAUAGCUUUAUAAAAUUUGGAUUGCUAAUAUGUCUUGCGAUACUAUACAGUUUUACUGAUAAACAUAAUUGUGUAGAACCGGCAAAUUUACAUUAACCCAUUUCGUAAUUCGAUAACAGUUUUACCAAUCACAAAUUAUUUUGUCGUUGUACUCUACAUGUUUUUUGUUUAUUUUUCAUGAUUUUGAAAAUUAUGCAAUAUUAUCAACCAGAACUAACAUACCACCUAAUGGAAAAUGAUGAACAAACACAAAAAUAUUAAAAUGACUCAGAAACGCACACUAAUUAGAUCUCUCACAGAGGCAGUACGCAUGCAUGCAUACUUACAUACACAACAAACACAAACUCUCAUCAUCUUUCUCGUUUCAUUAUGCCUGCAAUCAUGAUUUAUUGGUCUCUUAACCCGCAUGCUCCUCCUUUAUAUCCUCCCAAAUCUCUUCUAUAAAUACCAUUUCUCCUCUACUAGUCACCAGGCACUACCUCUCCCUUCUCUCUCUCCACACACAAACACAAACACACACUUCCUCUGCUCUGUUCUCGUUGCAACAUCCUCUGUUCUGUUUUAUCCCCAAUUUUUUUCUGACCUUCCAAUGGCAGUGUCUGGGUUCGAGGGAUUCGAGAAAAGACUCGAACUUCGAUUCUUCAACGACUCUAUAACCAAUACCAACCCAAUAGGCCUCCGUUUAAUCGACUUCGAAUCUCUAGACCAAGUCUUAAACGAAGUGCAGUGCACCGUAGUCUCCGCCGUAGCAAACCACAGCUUCGACGCUUACGUCCUCUCCGAGUCGAGCCUCUUCGUCUACCCAACCAAAAUCAUCAUCAAAACAUGCGGCACGACACAACUCCUCAAAUCAAUCCGACCGUUGAUCCACCUCGCGCGUAACGUCAACCUCACGCUACGCGCGUGCCGCUACUCGCGCGGGAGCUUCAUAUUCCCCAACUCGCAGCCUUUCCCUUACACGAGCUUCGAAGACGAAGUCGUCAUCGU
Molecule: long non-coding RNA, 4305 nt
Filed under: Brassica napus (rape)
Lineage: Eukaryota; Viridiplantae; Streptophyta; Magnoliopsida; Brassicales; Brassicaceae
Description: long non-coding RNA (BNAP_LNC006576)
Source: RNAcentral